AGCGGCGGACGGGUGAGUAACGCGUGGGUAACCUGCCUCGUACAGGGGGAUAACAGUUGGAAACGGCUGCUAAUACCGCAUAAGCGCACAGUACCGCAUGGUACCGUGUGAAAAACUCCGGUGGUAUGAGAUGGACCCGCGUCUGAUUAGCUAGUUGGUGGGAUAACGGCCUACCAAGGCGACGAUCAGUAGCCGACCUGAGAGGGUGACCGGCCACAUUGGGACUGAGACACGGCCCAA
RNAcentral lists this ribosomal RNA (240 nucleotides) under uncultured bacterium. RNAcentral describes it as "partial 16S ribosomal RNA". It matches the Rfam family "Bacterial small subunit ribosomal RNA", at positions 94 to 334 of the family's 1533-position model. The record is from RNAcentral.